Molecule: ribosomal RNA, 253 nt
Filed under: Roseburia faecis M72/1
Lineage: Bacteria; Bacillati; Bacillota; Clostridia; Lachnospirales; Lachnospiraceae
Description: partial 16S ribosomal RNA
Rfam family: Bacterial small subunit ribosomal RNA
Source: RNAcentral
UACGUAUGGUGCAAGCGUUAUCCGGAUUUACUGGGUGUAAAGGGAGCGCAGGCGGUGCGGCAAGUCUGAUGUGAAAGCCCGGGGCUCAACCCCGGUACUGCAUUGGAAACUGUCGUACUAGAGUGUCGGAGGGGUAAGCGGAAUUCCUAGUGUAGCGGUGAAAUGCGUAGAUAUUAGGGGGAACACCAGUGGCGAAGGCGGCUUACUGGACGAUAACUGACGCUGAGGCUCGAAAGCGUGGGGAGCAAACAGG